UACGAAGGGGGCUAGCGUUGUUCGGAAUUACUGGGCGUAAAGGGCGCGUAGGCGGCCUUGAUAGGUGGGCGUGAAAGGCCUGGGCUCAACCCGGGAACUGCGUUCAAUACUGCGAGGCUAGAGUGUGGGAGAGGUUGGUGGAAUUCCCAGUGUAGAGGUGAAAUUCGUAGAUAUUGGGAAGAACACCGGUGGCGAAGGCGGCCAACUGGACCACAACUGACGCUGAGGCGCAAAAGCUAGGGGAGCGAACAGG
RNAcentral lists this ribosomal RNA (253 nucleotides) under uncultured bacterium. Its description in RNAcentral is "partial 16S ribosomal RNA". It matches the Rfam family "Bacterial small subunit ribosomal RNA", at positions 524 to 776 of the family's 1533-position model. The record is from RNAcentral.